This 341-nucleotide unclassified non-coding RNA is filed under the name soil metagenome. Its description in RNAcentral is "partial contains 5.8S ribosomal RNA, internal transcribed spacer 2, and large subunit ribosomal RNA". The stretch from base 1 to 120 matches the Rfam family "5.8S ribosomal RNA", at positions 35 to 154 of the family's 154-position model. The record is from RNAcentral.
GAUGAAGAACGUAGCGAAAUGCUAUAAGUAGUGUGAAUUGCAGAAUUCAGUGAAUCAUCGAAUCUUUGAACGCACAUUGCGCCCUUUGGUAUUCCAAAGGGCAUGCCUGUUCGAGCGUCAUUUGUACCCUCAAGCUUUGCUUGGUGUUGGGCGUCUUGUCUCUAGCUUUGCUGGAGACUCGCCUUAAAGUAAUUGGCAGCCGGCCUACUGGUUUCGGAGCGCAGCACAAGUCGCACUCUCUAUCAGCAAAGGUCUAGCAUCCAUUAAGCCUUUUUUUCAACUUUUGACCUCGGAUCAGGUAGGGAUACCCGCUGAACUUAAGCAUAUCAAUAAGCGGAGGA